UAAUACCGCAUAAGCCCACGGCUCGGCAUCGAGCAGAGGGAAAAGGAGCAAUCCGCUUUGAGAUGGCCUCGCGUCCGAUUAGCUAGUUGGUGAGGUAACGGCCCACCAAGGCGACGAUCGGUAGCCGGACUGAGAGGUUGAACGGCCACAUUGGGACUGAGACACGGCCCAGACCCCUACGGGAGGCAGCAGUGUGGAAUAUUGCACAAUGGGGGAAACCCUGAUGCAGCGACGCCGCGUGGAGGAAGAAGGUCUUCGGAUUGUAAACUCCUGUUGUUGAGGAAGAUAAUGACGGUACUCAACAAGGAAGUGACGGCUAACUACGUGCCAGCAGCCGCGGUAAAACGUAGGUCACAAGCGUUGUCCGGAAUUACUGGGUGUAAAGGGAGCGCAGGCGGGAAGACAAGUUGGAAGUGAAAUCCAUGGGCUCAACCCAUGAACUGCUUUCAAAACUGUUUUUCUUGAGUAGUGCAGAGGUAGGCGGAAUUCCCGGUGUAGCGGUGGAAUGCGUAGAUAUCGGGAGGUACACCAGUGGCGAAGGCGGCCUACUGGGCACCAACUGACGCUGAGGCUCGAAAGUGUGGGUAGCAAACAGGAUUAGAUACCCUGGUAGUCCACACUGUAAACGAUGAUUACUAGGUGUUGGAGGAUUGACCCCUUCAGUGCCGCAGUUAACACAAUAAGUAAUCCACCUGGGGAGUACGACCGCAAGGUUGAAACUCAAAGGAAUUGACGGGGGCCCGCACAAGCAGUGGAGUAUGUGGUUUAAUUCGACGCAACGCGAAGAACCUUACCAAGUCUUGACAUCCUGCGACGCACAUAGAAAUAUGUGUUUCCUUCGGGACGCAGAGACAGGUGGUGCAUGGUUGUCGUCAGCUCGUGUCGUGAGAUGUUGGGUUAAGUCCCGCAACGAGCGCAACCCUUAUGGUCAGUUACUACGCAAGAGGACUCUGGCCAGACUGCCGUUGACAAAACGGAGGAAGGUGGGGAUGACGUCAAAUCAUCAUGCCCUUUAUGACUUGGGCUACACACGUACUACAAUGGCGUUAAACAAAGAGAAGCAAGACCGCGAGGUGGAGCAAAACUCAGAAACAACGUCCCAGUUCGGACUGCAGGCUGCAACUCGCCUGCACGAAGUCGGAAUUGCUAGUAAUCGCAGAUCAGCAUGCUGCGGUGAAUACGUUCCCGGGCCUUGUACACACCGCCCGUCACACCAUGAGAGCCGGGGGGACCCGAAGUCGGUAGUCUAACCGCAAGGAGGACGCCGCCGAAGGUAAAACUGGUGAUUGGGGUGAAGUCGUAACAAGGUA
RNAcentral lists this ribosomal RNA (1310 nucleotides) under metagenome. RNAcentral describes it as "bacterial SSU rRNA". It matches the Rfam family "Bacterial small subunit ribosomal RNA", at positions 164 to 1498 of the family's 1533-position model. The record is from RNAcentral.